CUACGGGACGCUGCAGUGGGGAAUAUUGCACAAUGGGGGAAACCCUGAUGCAGCAACGCCGCGUGGAGGAUGACGCAUUUCGGUGUGUAAACUCCUUUUAUAUAGGAAGAUAAUGACGGUACUAUAUGAAUAAGCACCGGCUAACUCCGUGCCAGCAGCCGCGAUAAUACGGAGGGUGCAAGCGUUACUCGGAAUCACUGGGCGUAAAGCGCGCGCAGGCGGCCUUUUAAGUUGGAUGUGAAAGCCUAUGGCUUAACCAUAGAACUGCAUCCAAAACUAUCAGGCUAGAGUCUGGGAGGGGAAGAUGGAAUUAGUUGUGUAGGGGUAAAAUCCGUAGAGAUAACUAGGAAUACCAAAAGCGAAGGCGAUCUUCUGGAACAGUACUGACGCUGAGGCGCGAAAGUGUGGGGAGCAAACAGGAUUAGAUACCCCGGUAGUC
Molecule: ribosomal RNA, 439 nt
Filed under: uncultured bacterium
Lineage: Bacteria
Description: partial 16S ribosomal RNA
Rfam family: Bacterial small subunit ribosomal RNA
Source: RNAcentral